GUGGGGAAUCUUAGACAAUGGGCGCAAGCCUGAUCUAGCCAUGCCGCGUGAGCGAUGAAGGCCUUAGGGUUGUAAAGCUCUUUCGUGGGGGAAGAUAAUGACUGUACCCCAAGAAGAAGCCCCGGCUAACUCCGUGCCAGCAGCCGCGGUAAUACGGAGGGGGCUAGCGUUGUUCGGAAUUACUGGGCGUAAAGCGCACGUAGGCGGACUGGAAAGUCAGGGGUGACAUCCCGGGGCUCAACCCCGGAACUGCCUUUGAAACUCCCAGUCUUGAGUUCGAGAGAGGUGAGUGGAAUUCCGAGUGUAGAGGUGAAAUUCGUAGAUAUUCGGAGGAACACCAGUGGCGAAGGCGGCUCACUGGCUCGAUACUGACGCUGAGGUGCGAAAGCGUGGGGAGCAAACAGGAUUAGAUACCCGUGUAGUCC
RNAcentral lists this ribosomal RNA (425 nucleotides) under uncultured bacterium. RNAcentral's name for it is "partial 16S ribosomal RNA". It matches the Rfam family "Bacterial small subunit ribosomal RNA", at positions 354 to 796 of the family's 1533-position model. The record is from RNAcentral.